GUAACCUUUUGGAUGGAACCACACCAACCACACCUGUUUACCCCUGUUUCCAGCUUCUGUCCCUGGGUUUUGCAGAUGGCGAGUAUACCUGCACGAGUUGUGAUCACAGCUUGUGGAUGUUGUGGAGUAGAAGCAUAACGUUGCAUUAAAUGGAUACAGCUGCUUUUGACCCCUGUGAGGAAAGAUUUUCAGCUCUGCAGGUGGAAUGGGCGACAGAACCGACCCCAGCAGCCACAACAGACACCAUGACAGAGC
This is a long non-coding RNA of Acanthopagrus latus (yellowfin seabream), 255 nucleotides long. RefSeq lists it as uncharacterized. NCBI's taxonomy places the organism in Eukaryota, Metazoa, Chordata, Actinopteri, Spariformes, Sparidae. The record is from RefSeq and is a predicted model, not a curated record. The transcript is spliced from 3 exons.